UGUGUGUGUGUGUGUGUGUGAGUGUGUGUGUCUGUGUGUGUGUGUGUGUGUGUGUGUGUGUGUGUGUGUGCAUGUCUAACUGUGUGUGUGUGUGUGUGUUACAGACAGCUGUCUUGCUGAACGAGCUCCUAAAGGUUGCAUCAGUGCAGGAGUAAGUGUGUUUGUUGGUCUCUGUGAGUGUGUUAGUGUUGUGUGAGAUGUGUCAGCUGUGUGUUUGUGUCUGCAGGAUGUUGUGCACGCUCCUCCUCGUCCACUGCGUGUUAAACCAGGAUGUAAAGGACCCGCCAUCAACAGAGACCUCAAACCCAGGAGACUGCCCAAGAGCUCCUCAGAUGGACGAUUGGAGUUGAUGGGAUCUGCUGACAGGGCUGUCACAGUCCCACAGAGGCCGGUGAGAUCAUUACCCAGAGAUCACCUGCGUUUACCGCCUCUACCAGUGCAGACCAUCCCUAACUAUCCAAACCAGUUUGAUGAGUCUCCUCCAUCCAGACCAGCACCAGCACCAGCGUCACCGCAAACCAGAUCACACAACAGCAGACCCGCAUGGACACAGUGAGUCUCACACACACACCUGCAGAAACUAGUUCAAGUC
RNAcentral lists this long non-coding RNA (592 nucleotides) under Sinocyclocheilus grahami. RNAcentral describes it as "lncRNA (ENSSGRG00000021527.1)". Lineage: Eukaryota; Metazoa; Chordata; Actinopteri; Cypriniformes; Cyprinidae. The record is from RNAcentral.